ACUUUCCUGAAGGAGCUCCUGAAUGCUUUAGGCUUUGAUGUCUGCUUUAGUCUGAUAUUUCCAUUUGAUCUUCCAAAAGGAGCAACCAUCACAGUGCUGAAAUUAUGUUCCACUUGAUGGUUCUUAAUUGUAUUUCUCAGUUUAGGUUUGGACUUGCACUACAGGUGGUUGCGAAUCUCAGGCUUUGCGUGUCUGUCUGUGACAUCCUUGCUGUCGAAGGCGGAUUCACCUUUCCAUGAUAGGGCUGCUCGACGUAUAAAGUAAUUAGUGCCAUCAUCUUUGCCAUCCAUUUAUCUUUAUUAAGGAAUGUGAUGUUACUACUUACUAAUUAUGUAUGUUGUUUAGUAUUUGCAGAAGCAUUCUCAACUUUUCUCUGUACUUUCUCUUUUCUCUACUUUGUUUGGGUAGUAUUUACCCUGUCCUGAGAAUAGCAGAGAUAGACAUGCCUAUGUGUACAGCUAAGUAAUCAAAAUAGUUGAGAUACACACGCCUAUGUCUACAGGAAAACCAGCUUAACAUUCAUAUCUCAACUCCCUAUACACUCUGAUCAGACAUAAAAUUAAGCUUAGGCCAGCAAACUGGAAAAAAGGCAUAUAUGGUUACCGUGUAGAGCAUGUGAGUAAAUACACAUUGUUCAGUUCAUAUUUGAUUCCACAGGUUGCAUGGUGCAUGUUUUUUGCUGUGAGUUUCUUUGUAUGCUAGCGGAGCUCGAGUUCAAUAGUUCUUCACAUUACAUAUUUGUUAUUCACCCCCGUACUGAAUUUCUUUAAAAUACAUUGGUUCCAGUCUUGACUAUGGGCUGUUUUGCCAUGCUUACAUCAGAGCUCAAAAGUAGACGUCAUCAGCAAGUAGGUGAUACAUGUCUAUCUGAUUUAGCAUUUUGGAAUUGCUCACAACAUUUCUUUCGGCAUGUCAAUGAAAAUGGCACCUUCCCGUUCUAAUGUUCAUUAUGUUUCUUGAAGCCCUCACCAUCUUUAUAUUCAUUACACAUUCUCAAAAGCUUAUUUCUUAAUAAUACCUAAAGUGAAUACCAUGAGCUACCUCUCCAGUUUAUUCUUAUUUGAGUAUUAAGAGCACCUACAUUGCUUUGGUUCUGUAUGACUGAUCAAAUUUACACACACCUCAAUCAUAGUAAAAUCUGGAAGACGACGUAAAAGAAUCAAAGAAAAGUAGAGAUGCACAAUAGUUUUAGCUUUUCAGGGAUUGUUCUUGUUGGGUUCAGCUUUCGCCGGCAUGUUGUUAUUACAGAGUUACCGUAUCUCUUUGAAUCGUCAUAUGUACUCCAAACUCUCAUAGAUUAUGCAACUAGCUAAUGGUUGGAACUUUUACUCAGCUUUAUUAUAGGUGGCACAAAGUCAUGUUAGUUGCCAUUUUAUUGCUACAGAUAUGUUCUUGUUCUGAUUGUUUAUGUGAUGAUUAUAUCCAUGUGUAUGUAGCACAACCUCAUGUUUACACGUGGCUUGAAAUCGGCUGUACUUUUUUUGCUUUUGUUACAAGAUAUAUCAUCAAUUUCUUGUCUGGAUGUACUUUUAUUAGUUUGCUUCUAACUGCAUCUUAAUAUGUACUCGGUAGGCUCUACAGGAUUCGAUGAUGGAUGUGUGAAUGUGAGCAAUCAGGAUAUAAAUUUCUUCCAACAGCAAGGCAUGCUGAUUAGAUUCAGGAAUAUGUUCUUGCGUCUCAGCUUUGCAGCUUCACGUUGUAGGACUAAUAUUUGGUACCUGACAUGAGAUUGAGAAAUACCAUGCUUUAAUUAAUUAGUACAUACCUUGUGCAGGGCACAUAAAAUAUAUCUGAUAUCGCUUUUUUGUUAUUUAUAUUUUUAUCUUUUCUACCCUAAUUCAGUAGCACCAUUUCUUGAUGUUAUUUCUCUAUAGGAUUGUUGCUUCCACUAUAGCUUUUCCCCUCUGAAAUGAAUUUGAAUUAGGUCACUUUAGUGUCAAGGUAAAAAUUUCUUUGUUCUCGGGAAGAGCCAAUAUCCUAGGUGAUCGUUAAAUAUUAUUAAUAAUUACCAAUUAAUAAUUAUGUGCUUGAUUGUUUGUUGAUGACCAAUAAUUAUGUAUUUCACUUAUAAGUAACUAUCUAAUUUGCAUGUUCCAUUUUAUUUCAGAUGUAACACAUUCUUUAUAUGUAUUAUGAUGGAUUUUAGAUAUGCUCACUUGAUAUCAUUUUUUCUCUUGACUCUAAAACAGGUAUGUACACGCUAUUUAAGAGGGCCAAGAAGGCGGAAUAGCCUCGCUUAUACAGUUUCUGACUGCUAACAGUGCCAUCAUCAAUGAGCUUCACUCUAAAGUCUGUUCAUGGGAGGGUUGGGCUUCCUUCAAUGCUAGGGAUGAAAUUGGAGAAUAAACAAGGGGUUGACAUGCUUGUGAAGUUCUAUUAGUGCCAUCAUCAAUGAGCUUCACUCUAAAGUCUGUUCAUGGGAGGGUUGGGCUUCCUUCAAUGCUAGGGCUGAAAUUGGAGAAUAAUUAAACAGGGGGUUGACAUGCUUGUGAAGUUCUAUUAGGUUUCAGGUUCCUUUUGUUGUGAGGUGCUCCAUGGCCCUUUGCUUGGAUGCUCUGUGGUGAGGCAACAGAGAUAAUUAGCAGUCUUGUAUACUAACCAAGAGAACAUCCAUUUCAUGAUUUUGGGUAUUGGGUUCUCUUUGCUAAACCAGCUGCAGCUAGAUGAGAGAAGUAGUAAGUAAUAUCAGGUACAUAAUUUCUAUCAGUCUGUGUAUUCUAAUGACUACCGAUAUCCCCUUUCCUGUAGUGUGGCACUGAAUCAAUAGUCAUUUUUGCACAAUCAUGUGUCAUGUUCCUUUAUGAAUCAUAUAAUAUCAAGAGACAACUUAUGGAACUGUUCAGAUUUUUAUGGCAGCCCUAACUUCGCUAGGUAAUAACUUUAUUUGGUCUUUAUCCAACUGGUUUUUAUCAUAUCAAAUUACUGCAGAGCGUACUGAUUUUUUUGUCACCGAGCAACGGUGCCUUUCAGUUCAACUAGCAGUUUAAACCUCCGAAGGUUUAAGGUGAACAAUGAGAUAUUUUUGGGUUUGUUUGAACUGUUGUGUCUGUCCACUUGAGUGCCUCCAUAUGUGGUUCUCCUGUUGCAUUAGUUAUAUUAUUAUUUUUGAUCAUCUUGCCCAAAACUAAAGUUUCACUACAUGAAAAAUGACUACUUUAUUUUAUACCAUGUUAUCCUCUUUCUCUUCCCCACAGGACAGCGUCUCCCUGUGUUCUCGAUCCGGCGCCGCCACAUAUCAUGAUUCUGGAUUGGGCGCAGGUCAUCGCCAUAAGAGAGCCUGGCUGGUGUGGUCUUCAUGCUUGGUGUGGAGAAGCACGGGGGAUGAGUAGGACGGGCAUGGGGAAGGAGCAGCUAGGCCGGAGCUCCGGCGUUGUUCGCGUCAUGGUCGAAUGGAGCCGGCCAUCACUAUGGGCUGCUGCUCGCCGGUCGUCGUUUAUCCAAUCUCAGUUGCUCAUCUUUGGCUUCACCAUCUUCCUCCCCUGAUCAUGCAUCUAUUUUAGAUCAUAUAAUUAUGCUAUAUUAUAUAUGUUGUUUAGUUCAGACUUGUGCAUGUGCAUGCAUUGGCAUUGAUUUAGACAGAGAUAUUGCAUGAUUUGUACAUAGAAGGAGUACAGAUGAUCUAGGAAUAAAUGUUUGAAUAAAGUUAGUAGUGAGAUUUAGAUAGAGGUUACCUGCACUGUUCUGUUUUAUGUAGAUUCUAAGCUGCAAAAUCAUACAUGGUCCUGUUAGUAAUUUGUUUGAGUUGUGAGUUUA
Molecule: RNA transcript, 3753 nt
Organism: Triticum dicoccoides
Lineage: Eukaryota; Viridiplantae; Streptophyta; Magnoliopsida; Poales; Poaceae
Exons: 3
Source: RefSeq, a predicted model, not a curated record